RNAcentral lists this ribosomal RNA (538 nucleotides) under uncultured bacterium. RNAcentral's name for it is "bacterial SSU rRNA". It matches the Rfam family "Bacterial small subunit ribosomal RNA", at positions 355 to 895 of the family's 1533-position model. The record is from RNAcentral.
UGAGGAANAUUGGUCAAUGGGCGAGAGCCUGAACCAGCCAAGUAGCGUGCAGGAUGACGGCCCCAUGGGUUGUAAACUGCUUUUGUAUGGGGAUAAAGUCAAUCACGUGUGAUUGUUUGCAGGUACCAUACGAAUAAGGACCGGCUAAUUCCGUGCCAGCAGCCGCGGUAAUACGGAAGGUCCGGGCGUUAUCCGGAUUUAUUGGGUUUAAAGGGAGCGUAGGCUGGAGAUUAAGUGUGUUGUGAAAUGUAGACGCUCAACGUCUGACUUGCAGCGCAUACUGGUUUCCUUGAGUACGCACAACGUUGGCGGAAUUCGUCGUGUAGCGGUGAAAUGCUUAGAUAUGACGAAGAACUCCGAUUGCGAAGGCAGCUGACGGGAGCGCAACUGACGCUGAAGCUCGAAGGUGCGGGUAUCGAACAGGAUUAGAUACCCUGGUAGUCCGCACAGUANCGAUGGANGCCCGCUGUUGGUACCUGGUAUCANCGGCUAAGCGAAAGCAUUAAGCAUCCCACCUGGGGAGUACNCCGGCNACGGU